ACGUACACUCCUACGGGAGGCAGCAGUGGGGAAUAUUGGACAAUGGGCGCAAGCCUGAUCCAGCCAUGCCGCGUGAGUGAUGAAGGCCCUAGGGUUGUAAAGCUCUUUCACCGGUGAAGAUAAUGACGGUAACCGGAGAAGAAGCCCCGGCUAACUUCGUGCCAGCAGCCGCGGUAAUACGAAGGGGGCUAGCGUUGUUCGGAUUUACUGGGCGUAAAGCGCACGUAGGCGGACUAUUAAGUCAGGGGUGAAAUCCCGGGGCUCAACCCCGGAACUGCCUUUGAUACUGGUAGUCUGGAGUUCGAGAGAGGUGAGUGGAAUUCCGAGUGUAGAGGUGAAAUUCGUAGAUAUUCGGAGGAACACCAGUGGCGAAGGCGGCUCACUGGCUCGAUACUGACGCUGAGGUGCGAAAGCGUGGGGAGCAAACAGGAUUAGAAACCCUGGUAGUCCCAUG
Molecule: ribosomal RNA, 454 nt
Filed under: uncultured organism
Description: partial 16S ribosomal RNA
Rfam family: Bacterial small subunit ribosomal RNA
Source: RNAcentral